CACACAAAUUCAACGACCGUGACCGUCAACAUUAUCAACGCUCGUCCGAAGUUUGUCGACCUUCCAAAGAGCACAACGGUCAGCGAAGACGCAUCGUCCUUGACUAUUCUUUUCAGCACGAUGGACUAUUCUGGAGACGCCGUCACGUGUCAACUAAAACCCACAGUAGAAGGCUUUACCUUGACAAAUGGAGCAACAGCGAAUAACAUAACAUCGCACACGGUUAUAGCUUCGGUGGCCUUCGAUUAUAGCAAUACGUCGUUUUUCGAACUCACAGUGGAAUGUAACGACGGAGUGUACUACAUGACAUCAAAUCUUCAAGUCGCCGUCAUCGCAAACAAGCCACCAUAUUUUGUGGCCUCCAAUCCUGGAUAUG
Long non-coding RNA from Dreissena polymorpha, 376 nucleotides. RefSeq lists it as uncharacterized. NCBI's taxonomy places the organism in Eukaryota, Metazoa, Mollusca, Bivalvia, Myida, Dreissenidae. The record is from RefSeq and is a predicted model, not a curated record. The transcript has 3 exons.